This 7130-nucleotide long non-coding RNA is filed under the name Triticum aestivum (bread wheat). RNAcentral's name for it is "long non-coding RNA (TAES_LNC008041)". The record is from RNAcentral. Lineage: Eukaryota; Viridiplantae; Streptophyta; Magnoliopsida; Poales; Poaceae.
AGCCCCUGGAGCGCGUCAAGGUCCUUCUUCUCCUCCCACAAAUGGUCAACUUGGUGCUGCUCCCUCUGCAGUGUAGGAGAACAAUACCCAUGGAGAUUCAUGGAGUAGGCUAUGUCAUCCUCUAACCACCAUGAUUGGCUGCUACCGGCGAGGCAAGGUAAUCUUUUUUUUUUAUUGUUAAAUUCUUCGAUUUUCGUUUCAAAUCCUUGGACCAGUUGCUGGGAUUGUAUAGUUAUUUGGAGGGACCUAUUUUGUACCCAAGUUUAAUUAGUAAGCUUCUGUAGUUGUGCAUGUAUCUUGUCCCUUUCGAGCAAAUGAAGGUUCCAUUAUGAAAUUUGACUACUAGAGCAUGUGUCGGUUCAGUUUGCCGUGUACACGUUUGGUUUGGACAAUAAUAAAAAAUCCGCUAACUUAAAUGAAUGUUUGUACUAGUAUCAGUUAGUUAGUUUGCAGGGAGAGAUGCAUAUCUGGUUUCCCUAUGUGUAUUGCUCACAUGCUUGUCUUUUUCUUUGACUGUGUAUGGCUCAGAUUGUAUGGUCGAGAAGGUCGGUGUUGACAACAGCGCUGAAGCUAUGCGUCCUCCCCUACAAGCAGUAUGGAUCCGCCAUGGCUGGACUAAGUGUAUGUAUGCUUCCAGUCCACAGUAAAGAGUUGUUCUUCUGUUUGUCUCUAGUCUUGAUAUGUCUCUUGUGAUCAUUGAUACAGUCUUGAUCCUUGUGCACGCUGUGUGUGUGUCCUGGAUCAGCUGCCACGCUAAUGUGCUGGUCGGUGUAAUACUCCCUCCGUCCCAAAAUAAGUGUCUCAUAGUACAAAGUUGAGACACUUAUUUUGAGACGGAGGGAGUAUUAUAUUAUGCUGGCCUGUUUACUGUUGGCUAGCUCGUUGAAACGGUGCCACCAAUUUAAACGAACCACUGCCAACUGAGUUGUCUGAGCGAUUGCACAUUUGACCGCCUGGAUCAGCAAGAGUUUUAUCACUUGUAUAUGCUUUUUUGUCUAGUGGCAAGGGCAUAUACAUGUUUGUACAAGCUUGCACUAGCAUGUGUCCUUUCCGGUGUUGUUUUGGUUGACAAGUGUUGAGUAUACGUAUGUGACCUACCUAGUUGGCCCAGCACCAAAUUUAAGUUGCUCUCGUGGCCUGUCUCCAGAUUAAUUUGCUCUUAUUUUUUACUUCAGACAAACAAUUAAAUUCUGCGUUCAUGCUCCUAAUCUAACGGGUUUAGUACCCUUGAACAUCCCCAAGAUAAAUUAUAAAUAUGGACCAUCAUAUUGCUCCCUGUUUUACUGUUGUUGUGCAUUCCUUGCUUCUGUUAAAGUAUUGCUGCUCACGUAGGAAAAAUGGAGGGUCUCUCGUCCAUCUCUCUCUGUCCGUUCAGUUUUUUUUUCUCUCUUUUAGACUUAAGCAUCAGUAGAUUCCAGUUUUCUGCUAAUUUGCUUCAAUCUGAGAGUUGAACCGGUGGUAUAUAGCUGAUAUGCAGUGAUUUUGGACAUGCAUGUUGUCGAUCUGAAGCAAAACCCACCGAUCCCUGCUUAGUUACUUAAUCAGCCCCUUCCUUUGUUUAAGAACAGGGUGCGGUUGGAUCCAUAGUACUACUGAGAAGCAAAGCAUCCAACCUUGCAUUGUUUUAUUUUCUAACUAAUGCUUGGUGAAAUAGAUGGUGCAGAGACUGGAUACUUUAUUGACGCAGAAAUAUGAUUGAAAAUAAACCUGCUUAUGUACCGGACUGCUGCUUCACGUUUCAACGUAUUUGGUUUAUAGGAUCUUUACUGUUAGUAGAAGGCAUGCUUUCUUGGAUGUUCAAUUUCUUGUCUGAAUAAAUAUGAUUUGGACAUGGUGUUGAUCUGAAGCGAAACCUAAUGAUCCCUUCUUAGUUCUUAAUCAGCCCCUCCCUUCAUUUGGUAAGGAAAAAAAAUAGGGUACUAGUUGGAUUCGUCGUUCUACUGAGAAGCAGAGCAAUCCAAUUUUUUUUGUUUUAGUUUUCAAUCAAUUCCUAGUGAAAUAGAUGGCUACAGAGACGGCGGGGUACUUUAUUGAUGCAGAAAUGUUGAUGCAUGCUUGUUCCUGUUGUCAAUUGGAUCAUCUUCUGUAGGUUUCUGACAUGUAGUUUAGGAUUCACCAUUGCAUGGCUAAUUAUUAUGUUGAUACAAUUUGUUUGCUUUGUAGACAAGCAUGGCAAUGUGCAUAACUUCCUAAAAAUUGAGCUUGUAUUGACUAUUGACUAGGUGUAAUUAAGUACUCUACGCGUUAGAUGAGUAGAUGGCGAUGUUGAUGUGCUGUGUUAAUCAGCACAAUAGCAUGUGAGUUCUGUUUGAUUUUUGAGAGCUUGAUGUUUCUGAAGUGAAAGCAUAUCUGGAUCGGUACCAUCUGCAUGACUAAUUGCAGGUCGGUGGUGAUAUCUUUGUGCGGCCUGACUAGUUGUAUUGACUGCUUUCUGUAAUUCUCUUAUGUGCAAGUUUUUCUGGUUCUAUUGGACCUUUUAAGUUUGGAUUUAUAUUGUCACAACUUUCCUUGAAGUCUUGAUUCUAAGCGAACCUGCAUGUGUACCUGUUGUCGCUUGGACCAUCUUCUUUAGGUUUCUGAUGUGCAAGUUUAUUUGGAUCCAUUGCACCUUUGCAUGACGAGUUGUUCCGCUGAUACAAUGUUUUGGUAGGCGCAUGGAAAUAAAAAUUAAAUUUCCUGAAAGUUGAGCUUGUCUUGACACUUGACUACGUUUCAUGUUGACAUGUACAUUGACGAUAUAGGAGUAGAUGAUGAUGCUGGCAGCCACAUUGGCGAUACAUGUUGACAUGUCCUUCCUGUUAAUUUGAUCAUGAUUCUUUAGUUUUCAUUGGUCAACCUGUCAAUUUCUUUGAUAACUCAACGCGGUAUAUGAGUAGAUGAUGAUGCUGGCAGCCACAUUGAUGAUACAUGUUGACAUGUACUUCCUGUUAAUUUGAUCAUGAUUCUUUAGUUUUCAUUGGUCAACCUGUCAAUUUCUUUAAGAAUUGGGUGUGGUUGGAUCCGUACUACUGAGAAGUAAAACAUUCCAACCUUGCUUUGUUUUAUUUCCUCAUUCUUUUUGAAAUACAUGGCUGCAGAAACAAAGUACUUUACAUAUGAUUGAAAAUAAAUCUGCUUAUGUACCGGACUGCCAUUUCAUAUUUCAACAUGUUUGUUUUGUCGUAUCUUUAUUGUUUUACUAGUUCACCACGAGAAUCCAUGCUUUAUUUUGUCAGUACAAGGCAUGCUUGCCGCUCACUGUCUCGUUUGUCGCCAGGAUUCAAGGAUCUCCAUUGGAAAGAAUGUGCCAAGCAAGUAGCACAUCAAGGAACCAUCUGACCCAUCCUAGCUAGGUGGCUUUGAUAGGUCCAGGAUACACGCAGGUCGUCGGAGAAGAAUCUUUAGCAAGAAAGCAAGUCCAAGACACACGCAGCACUAGGAUCUUGGGUUGUUGGAGAAGAGUCUGCAGCAAAAAAGCAACGAGAGACAAGGUACUCGGUGUUUUUCUGGACUGUGCUCGUUUUUGUAUUAUUUGUUCAUAACUGAACUGAGGAGAGCCCACACCAUUGUACUACUCUAUCUCCUUCACCUGGACCAUGGUGUAUGAUAGUUGUGCAUUCCUUAUUAGCUAUUGCUAACGGUACCUCUAUGCUAGUCAUUCUCCCUCAAAAUUAAUUUUGAUCCUUAGCAACAAUACUAUUUGAACUUCUCUUCUGCCUCCAUGUUGCGUGACUGGUCAUGAGCUGGAUUCAUUUUUAAGACUUUAUAGUAUAACAUUUUAAACAUUGGUACUGUUUGCUGAAUUCAUAAGGGUAAUCCCAGUGCAAUAGGUAGAAUCUGAUCUGAGAUUGUUAGUGUUGCUGAUUGACCAGAAAUACGAAGAAUAUAGUAGCACCAUUGAUUGAUUGGACCUGAACUGAAUGUAACCGUGGUAAAUACCGCAUUUUAUAACAUCUACUUCUUCUUAGCUUGAUAAAAAGCACAACCAUAUGAAAACAGAAGUAACACAUUCUUCCCUGUUGCUAGUUAAGGGAUUUGAGAUUUUAGCACUUCAAGUUGCUCGCUGUUUCAAGUUGGGUCAUGGCCAUUUUAUAACAUUCACGGUUUUAAGAAUGAUGAAAGCACAACCAUAUGAAACUACAAUUAACAAACUCUUCCCUAUUGUAUUGUAACAGAUGGGAGAUCAGGGGGGUACCUGCCUGCAAUCCAAGGAGCAAAUCGAGGCCACCCCUGUGACCAAGCAAGAUGCUACAGUUAGAAGAGAACGGGCGCUCGCCUACGGAUUCUCCCAUUAGGUUGGUUUGGUUGCAGCAGAUUCAUGGCCACGUUAUGUUUACAUUGAUGGUUGCAAAUAAAUCUGCUUAUGUGCUGGACUGGCACUUGACAUUUCAACAAUGUUUGUUUUUGUCGAUCUUUACUGUUUUACCAGUUCACUACUGGAACCCAUGCUUGAUUUCGUUAGCAUAAGGCAUGCUUGUCGCUCACUGUCUCGUUUGUCAUCAGGAUUCAAGCAUCUCAAUUGAAAGGACUACGCAAAGCAAACGACACGACAAGGAAUCAUCAGACUCAUCCUAGGUGGCUUUGAUAGGUCCAGGACACGCGGGGCAUCUGAGAAGAAUAUGUAACAAGAAAACAAGUCCAAGACACAAAAGAUCUUGGGUCGUGGGAGAAGAGUCGGCAGCAAAAAGUCAACAAUAGACAAAGGGUACGCGAUAUUUUUCUGGGCUGAGUUCAUUUUUGUAUUAUUUGCUUAUAACUGAACCGAGUCAAGGCUGCAACACUGCACCGUUCUCUUCUUCACGUGGACCAUGGUGUAUGAUGGUUAUGCAUUCCCUGUUGCUAGUAGAACCUCUAUGCCAAACCAUUUCUAGUUCAGUAUUGGCAAACUAUAUUGUACAUGGACAGCAAUAUAGGACAGAGUUGGGAUCCUUUUUGCUAAUUUUGACUAAAUAAUAAUGUGCUCUUCGUAUAGUUUCGGUCAAUUCAAGGGAGCACUUUUACUCUCUAUUAUAACCCGCAAAAAUUGACUUGAUUCAGUCAGUUAUGAGCUAACCAGUGACUUGUACAGUCUAACGGGUCCUAACUGGAGUUUUUCAUCAUGUGUCUUACUUGCUAGACUUGGAUCAAUGGAAGGGUUUAGUUUGUUGUAACCGGAGCUAGUAGGCAUGGUCAGUUUGCACCAUUGCUUGCUUAGUCCAAGUAAAAGGGCCUUGGUCCUGAGAAAUAUGUUUUUCCCCUUCUACUAUUUCUGGUCUUUAUGCAGUUUUUGCAGUGUCAUCUCUCUGGCUCAACAAGGUUGUUAAUGAUUAGUGCCGAGUACCAUAGUUUUUUCCUCCAGCUACGAGUUUCCUUGAUUUUUAUGUGGUGACUCUUUGUGUUCUGAGCAUUCAAAUUCCUUUGUGCUAAUCUCAUGGGAUUUGGACUCUCUGAUGUUGCUCCAGUAGCACUAUUUGUAGAAUUUGUUCUUUGUUUGCUCCUUUACAUAGAAUGACCAUCUGUUCUUAUGUCAUGUUCAUGUUUUGUCGUGGUUAUAUUUCAUAACGAACUGAGUUGUGGUUAUUUGAUGUUUUGCCAGGACAGUUUCUAUGAGAUGCAACCAUGGAUAUCACCUUGAUUCUGCUUGACGCCCAGGACCAGGACACUGAUGUAUGGUGUGUAACAACAAACCUCCUUGUAGCUGUAGCUUUCCUCUAGUGUUGAGAACAAAUAGAGUUGUGCUGAGAACAGGAAAUUCUUCAUUUUGCGUUCAACAAUAUAAUUCUGCUCUCCUUUUGUUGUACACAAAUGAGACACUCAUGAAUAGCAAGCAAGUAAGCAACCAUCUUGGCAGCACCUAUCUAUUUCAGAGAUUGAUGUAUUUAUGUUUUUUUUUACCGUGUAUACUAUACAAUAUCAUUCUUGUGUUACAAGUUCAUUUGUGAAAGCUAGGCAAUUUUUUCUUUAAGACAUGCAAGUUUUAUGCUUGUAGAAAAUACUUGCUACAAAUGAAGUCAACUAUAAUGACAGAUUAAGCUUUAGUCUAACUGAAUUGGUCCACUGGACUGUGCUUGCAGAUCAUGUUACUUUUGUGGUUACAUGGACUGCUAGGGCUACCUGCAUCUGCUCGUCCACUGCUCUGACGCCAUGGUGAGACGUAGAUCUUCCCCUGUUCCCACCCUAGCGCAGGCUGCUGCUCGUCAAGGUGGGUACUCUCGCCCAUCAUUGAUUUACUCUUCUUUCCUUGCCUUCCAUUCUCUGAAGUGCUCUUGGUUGGCUUGCCUGGUUUCCUUACCCACGCAGGUGCAUGCCUGCCUGACGAAACCAACAUCGAUCACAAGUGGCCAACCCUAGCUACUGGCGCACACCAGGGUUGUUUGUUGCUGGCCGUACCCGACAUGCACAAGUUUGUCUCUCCCUAGCUGCUCCAGCCCUCACUCCGCCGCUUGCUUUCGGCAUAGGUGGUGGUUCCUCUCCUCUACUCCCUCGAUUUAUUUCUAGUGUUUUUUUUGUGAUGUGCUGGUGUUGCAAACAUUUCUAGUGUUUGCUUAUUGGAUUUAGCUCUCAAUUGUGAACUGGCCUUGAUUUAUGCAGGCAGUUUGCUGUCUUCUGGUUGCGCGAAGGAGGCCAUGGAGAAGUUGCCGCCGACCUAUGGUGUGCACCAGAAGGUGAACUCAAGGAGAGUUUGAUCUUCUCAGCGCCCUGGUGGUUGUGAUUAUCUAUCUGGGUUCGCCAGGAAAAUCACGAUAUUUUUGGGCACCCCGUGAUUGAAGAGUGGAUCCUGUUUGCUGCAAUCUUUAAUGGAAAACAGAAGUAGUAUGGUGUAAUGUGUUUCCCCAUGGUGAUAGGGUUUUUUGUUUUGGUCGUUUCUGGGAUGAUGCAUAUGUGGAUAAAUCUGAACGACAUCCAAUGACUGUAUGAAUAAGGCCGAUCAAAAUUAUUGUCUGCCAUUGAAAUUAAGAUGCAAUCAAGCCAAUGAUUUUUUCUGGUUGAUGAUCUGAAGGACUUGCUGAUUGCAUAGAUAAUUUAUUUGUCCUUGUUUCAAGAUCCAUGCCCAUGACCAUGAUGGAUAUGUCACCAGUUCCAUUUUCUUGUAAAUGCUGGCUAGCAUAUACUUGCUUUGUUGCUCUUGAAAAAUAAUAGAAAAGAGACUGCCCAUGCAUGCCCAUCAACAC